This 346-nucleotide ribosomal RNA is filed under the name uncultured bacterium. RNAcentral's name for it is "partial 16S ribosomal RNA". It matches the Rfam family "Bacterial small subunit ribosomal RNA", at positions 338 to 681 of the family's 1533-position model. The record is from RNAcentral.
CCUACGGGAGGCAGCAGUGAGGAAUAUUGGUCAAUGGACGAGAGUCUGAACCAGCCAAGUAGCGUGAAGGAUGACUGCCCUAUGGGUUGUAAACUUCUGGUAUAAAGGAAUAAAACGAGGCACGUGGGCCGUUUUGCAUGGACGUUAUGAAUAAGGAUCGGCUAACUCCGUGCCAGCAGCCGCGGUAAUACGGAGGAUCCGAGCGUUAUCCGGAUUGAGUGGGGUUCAAGGGAGCGUAGAUGGGUUGUUAAGUCAGUUGUGAAAGUUUGCGGCUCAACCGUAAAAUUGCAAUUGAUACUGGCAGUCUUGCGUACAGUUGCGGUAGGCGGCAUUCGUGGUGUAGCGG